RNAcentral lists this ribosomal RNA (1583 nucleotides) under Enterocloster bolteae. Its description in RNAcentral is "partial 23S ribosomal RNA". It matches the Rfam family "Bacterial large subunit ribosomal RNA", at positions 1284 to 2885 of the family's 2925-position model. The record is from RNAcentral. Lineage: Bacteria; Bacillati; Bacillota; Clostridia; Lachnospirales; Lachnospiraceae.
AGAAGAGAGAAUGCCGGAAUGAGUAGCGAGAUGGAGGUGGGAAUCCUCCAGGCCGAAUAUCCAAGGUUUCCAGAGUAAAGCUGAUCUGCUCUGGGUAAGUCGGGGCCUAAGGCGAGGCUGAGAGGCGUAGUCGAUGGACAACAGGUUGAAAUUCCUGUACCAUGUAUCAUCAGAACUGUGGGGACACAGAAGGACAACACAUCCCGGGAAUGGGAAUACCGGGGCAAGCGAGGUAGGAGUACGGUUGGCAAAUCCGCCGUGCAAUCCGAAGACGUGACGCGCAGCGAACUAAAGUAGCGAAGUGUGUGAUUCCGGCUGUCAAGAAAAGCCGCUAUUGUGUGAUACAUGCCCGUACCGUAAACCGACACAGGUAGAUGAGGAGAGAAUCCUAAGGCCGGCGGGAGAAGCAUUGUUAAGGAACUCGGCAAAAUGACCCCGUAACUUCGGGAGAAGGGGUGCCACAGAGAUGUGGCCGCAGAGAAUAGGCUCAAGCAACUGUUUAGCAAAAACACAGGUCUAUGCAAAACCGUAAGGUGAGGUAUAUGGGCUGACGCCUGCCCGGUGCUGGAAGGUUAAGAGGAGAGGUUAGAGCAAUCGAAGCUUUGAAUUUAAGCCCCAGUAAACGGCGGCCGUAACUAUAACGGUCCUAAGGUAGCGAAAUUCCUUGUCGGGUAAGUUCCGACCCGCACGAAAGGCGUAAUGAUUUGAGCGCUGUCUCAACAAUGCACCCGGUGAAAUUGAAAUACCAGUGAAGAUGCUGGUUACCUGCGCCAGGACGGAAAGACCCCAUGGAGCUUUACUCCAGUUUGAUACUGGGAUUCGGUAUUGCAUGUACAGGAUAGGUGGGAGGCUAAGAAACAUGGACGCCAGUCUGUGUGGAGCCAAUGUUGGGAUACCACCCUUGCGAUAUUGGGUUUCUAACCUGCGCCCGUGACCCGGGCGGGGGACAAUGUCAGGCGGGGAGUUUGACUGGGGCGGUCGCCUCCGAAAGGGUAUCGGAGGCGCUCAAAGGUUCCCUCAGGAUGGUUGGAAACCAUCCAAAGAGUGCAAAGGCAUAAGGGAGCUUGACUGCGACACCGACGGGUGGAGCAGGUACGAAAGUAGGACUUAGUGAUCCGGUGGUAUGAAAGUGGGAUUGCCAUCGCUCAACGGAUAAAAGCUACCCUGGGGAUAACAGGCUUAUCACUCCCAAGAGUUCACAUCGACGGAGUGGUUUGGCACCUCGAUGUCGGCUCAUCGCAUCCUGGGGCUGUAGCAGGUCCCAAGGGUUGGGCUGUUCGCCCAUUAAAGCGGUACGCGAGCUGGGUUCAGAACGUCGUGAGACAGUUCGGUCCCUAUCCGGCGCGGGCGUAGGAUAUCUGAGAGGAGCUGUCCUUAGUACGAGAGGACCGGGAUGGACAGACCGCUGGUGUACCUGUUGGCUUACCAAGGCCAUGGCAGGGUAGCCAAGUCUGGACGGGAUAAACGCUGAAGGCAUCUAAGCGUGAAGCCCCCCUCAAGAUGAGAUAUCCCAUCGCGAAAGCGAGUAAGACCCCUUGAAGACGACGAGGUAGAUAGGUUAGAGGUGGAAGUGCAGUAAUGUA